This 490-nucleotide ribosomal RNA is filed under the name uncultured bacterium. RNAcentral's name for it is "partial 16S ribosomal RNA". It matches the Rfam family "Bacterial small subunit ribosomal RNA", at positions 30 to 507 of the family's 1533-position model. The record is from RNAcentral.
AUUGAACGCUGGCGGCAGGCCUAACACAUGCAAGUCGAACGGUAACAGGAAGAAGCUUGCUUCUUUGCUGACGAGUGGCGGACGGGUGAGUAAUGUCUGGGAAACUGCCUGAUGGAGGGGGAUAACUACUGGAAACGGUAGCUGAUACCGCAUAACGUCGCAAGACCAAAAAGGGGGACCUUCGGGCCUCUUGCCAUCGGAUGUGCCCAGAUGGGAUUAGCUAGUAGGUGGGGUAACGGCUCACCUAGGCGACGAUCCCUAGCUGGUCUGAGAGGAUGACCAGCCACACUGGAACUGAGACACGGUCCAGACUCCUACGGUAGGCAGCAGUGGGGAAUAUUGCACAAUGGGCGCAAGCCUGAUGCAGCCAUGCCGCGUGUAUGAAGAAGGCCUUCGGGUUGUAAAGUACUUUCAGCGGGGAGGAAGGGAGUAAAGUUAAUACCUUUGCUCAUUGACGUUACCCGCAGAAGAAGCACCGGCUAACUCCGUG